This 494-nucleotide ribosomal RNA is filed under the name uncultured bacterium. Its description in RNAcentral is "bacterial SSU rRNA". It matches the Rfam family "Bacterial small subunit ribosomal RNA", at positions 335 to 818 of the family's 1533-position model. The record is from RNAcentral.
ACUCCUACGGGAGGCAGCAGUAGGGAAUCUUCCACAAUGGACGAAAGUCUGAUGGAGCAACGCCGCGUGAACGAUGAAGGCUUUCGGGUCGUAAAGUUCUGUUGUAAGGGAAGAACAAGUGCCGCAGGCAAUGGCGGCACCUUGACGGUACCUUGCGAGAAAGCCACGGCUAACUACGUGCCAGCAGCCGCGGUAAUACGUAGGUGGCAAGCGUUGUCCGGAAUUAUUGGGCGUAAAGCGCGCGCAGGCGGCCUCUUAAGUCUGAUGUGAAAGCCCCCCGGCUCGAACCGGGGAGGGCCAUUGGAAACUGGGAGGCUUGAGUAUAGGAGAGAAGAGUGGAAUUCCAUGUGUAGCGGUGAAAUGCGUAGAGAUGUGGAGGAACACCGAGUGGCGAAGGCGGACUCUUUGGCCUAUAACUGACGCUGAGGCGCGAAAGCGUGGGAGCAAACAGGAUUAGAGUACCCCUGGUAGGAUAGCGUAGUCGUGGGAGGCAA